RNAcentral lists this ribosomal RNA (405 nucleotides) under uncultured bacterium. Its description in RNAcentral is "partial 16S ribosomal RNA". It matches the Rfam family "Bacterial small subunit ribosomal RNA", at positions 30 to 526 of the family's 1533-position model. The record is from RNAcentral.
AUUGAACGCUGGCGGCAGGCUUAACACAUGCAAGUCGAACGAGUGGCGGACGGGUGAGUAAUGCUUGGGAAUCUAGCUUAUGGAGGGGGAUAACUACGGGAAACUGUAGCUAAUACCGCGUACCAUAGGAUGAGCCCAAGUGGGAUUAGGUAGUUGGGGAGGUAACGGCUCACCAAGCCGAAGAUCUCUAGCUGGUCUGAGAGGAUGACAAUCAACACUGGGACUGAGACACGGCCCAGACUUCUAUGGGAGGCAGAAGUGGGGAAAAUUGCGCAAUGGGGGUAAGUUGAUGCAGCCAUGCCGCGUGUAUGAAGAAGGCCUUCGGGUUGUAAAGUUCUUUCGAUAGCGAGGCGUUAACUACAGAAGAAGCACCGGCUAAAUCCGUACCAGCAGCCGCGGUAAUAC